RNAcentral lists this ribosomal RNA (496 nucleotides) under uncultured bacterium. Its description in RNAcentral is "bacterial SSU rRNA". It matches the Rfam family "Bacterial small subunit ribosomal RNA", at positions 30 to 517 of the family's 1533-position model. The record is from RNAcentral.
AUUGAACGCUGGCGGAAUGCUUUACACAUGCAAGUCGAACGGCAGCACGGACUUCGGUCUGGUGGCGAGUGGCGAACGGGUGAGUAAUACAUCGGAACGUGCCCAGUCGUGGGGGAUAACGUAGCGAAGUUACGCUAAUACCGCAUACGAUCUCUGGAUGAAAGACGGGGGACCGGCAAGGCCUCGCGCGAUUGGAGCGGCCGAUGUCAGAUUAGGUAGUUGGUGGGGUAAAGGGCCUACCAAGCCGACGAUCUGUAGCUGGUCUGAGAGGACGACCAGCCACACUGGGACUGAGACACGGCCCAGACUCCUACGGGAGGCAGCAGUGGGGAAUUUUGGACAAUGGGCGCAAGCCUGAUCCAGCCAUUCCGCGUGCAGGAUGAAGGCCCUCGGGUUGUAAACUGCUUUUGUACGGAACGAAACGGCGGCCUCUAAUACAGGUUGCUAAUGACGGUACCGUAAGAAUAAGCACCGGCUAACUACGUGCCAGCAGCCG